UGGGGAAUUUUGCACAAUGGGCGCAAGCCUGAUGCAGCGACGCCGCGUGAGGGAUGAAGGCCUUCGGGUUGUAAACCUUUUUCGCUCAUGGUCAAGCCGCAGCUUUGGGUUGUGGUGAGGGUAGUGGGUAAAGAAGCGCCGGCUAACUACGUGCCAGCAGCCGCGGUAAUAUGUAGGGCGCGAGCGUUGUCCGGAAUUAUUGGGCGUAAAGGGCUUGUAGGCGGUUGGCCGCGUCUGCCGUGAAAUCCUCUGGCUUAACUGGGGGCGUGCGGUGGGUACGGGUUGACUUGAGUGCGGUAGGGGAGACUGGAAUUCCUGGUGUAGCGGUGGAAUGCGCAGAUAUCAGGAGGAACACCGGUGGCGAAGGCGGGUCUCUGGGCCGUUACUGACGCUGAGGAGCGAAAGCGUGGGGAGCGAACAGG
Molecule: ribosomal RNA, 422 nt
Filed under: bacterium
Lineage: Bacteria
Description: partial 16S ribosomal RNA
Rfam family: Bacterial small subunit ribosomal RNA
Source: RNAcentral